This 495-nucleotide ribosomal RNA is filed under the name uncultured bacterium. RNAcentral's name for it is "partial 16S ribosomal RNA". It matches the Rfam family "Bacterial small subunit ribosomal RNA", at positions 28 to 507 of the family's 1533-position model. The record is from RNAcentral.
GACGAACGCUGGCGGCGUGCCUAAUACAUGCAAGUAGAACGCUGAAGGAGGAGCUUGCUCUUCUGGAUGAGUUGCGAACGGGUGAGUAACGCGUAGGUAACCUGCCUGGUAGCGGGGGAUAACUAUUGGAAACGAUAGCUAAUACCGCAUAACAGUAGAUGUUGCAUGACAUUUGCUUAAAAGGUGCAAUUGCACCACUACCAGAUGGACCUGCGUUGUAUUAGCUAGUUGGUGGGGUAACGGCUCACCAAGGCGACGAUACAUAGCCGACCUGAGAGGGUGAUCGGCCACACUGGGACUGAGACACGGCCCAGACUCCUACGGGAGGCAGCAGUAGGGAAUCUUCGGCAAUGGACGGAAGGCUGACCGAGCAACGCCGCGUGAGUGAAGAAGGGUUUCGGAUCGUAAAGCUCUGUUGUAAGAGAAGAACGAGUGUGAGAGUGGAAAGUUCACACUGUGACGGUAUCUGACCAGAAAGGGACGGCUAACUACGUG